AAUGUUCUUUUAAAUGAAAGAAGUUGCAUUUGAUACUACCACACACAUUAUGUUGUUAAAUAUCUACAGCAUGAUAAAAUCAUUCCAAAUGUCACCAAUCCCUGGGGGACUUAUUAAUAAUUAAGCAUUUUUAGUUCACUUAGGAAUGCAGAUUCCAUUUAACAGGAAAAUACACACUAAAUCUGUCCAUUAUACUGCAGCUUUCAACAGAAUGUGUUCGAGAUCUCAGCUGGGUUUCCCCAGGACAGAUGACAAAGUUAAUGCAGGUCUUUCCUAAAGCAGCACCCUGAAUUUGUGUUUAUUAGGAGUGUUUAUUAGAGUGACUAAUAAUGGAAGGAAGACGACUUGACAAGUGUUGGGGAGAGCUGAGAGGAGCCUAGAGGAGACUGGAUGAUCCUGAAGAAUGUAGGGCGGAACAGAGACUCAGGGUGUGAGGCCCACCGAAGAAGAUUCCUUUUGAAGAUGAUCAAGGAGACAAAGGGAGAGAGAGAUUUGUGUUUCAACGCAAAAUGUUAUUCUUCUGCCAAGGAUUGCUGUAUCAUCACAUUAACAAUAAGAUAAACAAACGACAAAAAUUCACUGAGAACAAUAAGCGGUGGUAAUUGCAUAUUCUUGUCCCAGGUAUUUCCUUUUUGUUCUCAAUUAAAAAGCAUUCCCAGCAGUUGUGUAUGCUGUAUCAUUUGUUCACCUUAAAUAAAUACUUUUGAAUCUAAAAAUAUAAGCA
This 724-nucleotide long non-coding RNA is filed under the name Bos indicus x Bos taurus (hybrid cattle). Its description in RNAcentral is "lncRNA (ENSBIXG00000011550.1)". Lineage: Eukaryota; Metazoa; Chordata; Mammalia; Artiodactyla; Bovidae. The record is from RNAcentral.